GGUCUUAUAGUGUAGUGGUUAGCACAUCGGACUUUGAAUCCGUUGACCUGAGUUCGAAUCUCAGUAAGACCA
Molecule: transfer RNA, 72 nt
Filed under: Perkinsela sp. CCAP 1560/4
Lineage: Eukaryota; Euglenozoa; Kinetoplastea; Prokinetoplastida; Perkinselidae
Rfam family: tRNA
About the family: Transfer RNA (tRNA) molecules are approximately 80 nucleotides in length. Their secondary structure includes four short double-helical elements and three loops (D, anti-codon, and T loops).
Source: Rfam by way of RNAcentral